GGGGCCAUAGCUCAGUUGGGAGAGCGCCUGAUUUGCAUUCAGGAGGCCGUCGGUUCGACUCCGUCUGGCUCCA
This 73-nucleotide transfer RNA is filed under the name Hyphomonas neptunium ATCC 15444. It matches the Rfam family "tRNA". From Rfam's summary of the family: Transfer RNA (tRNA) molecules are approximately 80 nucleotides in length. Lineage: Bacteria; Pseudomonadati; Pseudomonadota; Alphaproteobacteria; Hyphomonadales; Hyphomonadaceae. The record is from Rfam by way of RNAcentral.